This 214-nucleotide ribosomal RNA is filed under the name Patescibacteria group bacterium. Its description in RNAcentral is "partial 16S ribosomal RNA". It matches the Rfam family "Bacterial small subunit ribosomal RNA", at positions 1307 to 1533 of the family's 1533-position model. The record is from RNAcentral.
GCAACUCGCCCUCAUGAAGCCGGAAUCGCUAGUAACCGUAGAUCAGCCUCGCUACGGUGAAUACGUUCUCAGGUUUUGUACACACCGCCCGUCAAGCCAUGGAAGCGGGGAGCGGAUGAAGCGCGCCGUAAGGUGCUCCAAUCCGAAACUCGUAACUGGGGCUAAGUCGUAACAAGGCAUCGGUAGCGGAAGCUGUCGAUGGAUCACCUCCUUU